UACGGAAGGCAGCAGUGGGGAAUAUUGCACAAUGGGCGAAAGCCUGAUGCAGCUAUGCCGCGUGUAUGAAGAAGGCCUUAGGGUUGUAAAGUACUUUCAUCGGGGAGGAAAAAACAAAACUAAUAAUUUUAUUUCUUGACGUUACCCGAAAAAGAAGCACCGGCUAACUCCGUGCCAGCAGCCGCGGUAAUACGGAGGGUGCUAGCGUUAAUCAGAAUUACUGGGCGUAAAGAGCACGUAGGUGGUUUUUUUAAGUCAGAUGUGAAAUCCCUGGGCUUAACCUAGGAACUGCAUUUUGAAACUGAAAUACUAGAGUAUCGUAGAGGAGGUAGAAUUCUAGGUGUAGCGGUGAAAUGCGUAGAUAUCUGGAGGAAUACCUGUGGCGAAAGCGGCCUCCUAAACGAAUACUGACACUGAGGUGCGAAAGCGUGGGGAGCAAACAGGGAUUAGAUACC
RNAcentral lists this ribosomal RNA (455 nucleotides) under uncultured bacterium. RNAcentral's name for it is "bacterial SSU rRNA". It matches the Rfam family "Bacterial small subunit ribosomal RNA", at positions 340 to 786 of the family's 1533-position model. The record is from RNAcentral.